Thalassophryne amazonica is the source of this 1683-nucleotide RNA transcript. It is a transcript of the gene named replication factor C (activator 1) 5, with no coding region annotated. NCBI's taxonomy places the organism in Eukaryota, Metazoa, Chordata, Actinopteri, Batrachoidiformes, Batrachoididae. The record is from RefSeq and is a predicted model, not a curated record. The transcript has 12 exons.
UGUGAUUGGUUACGUAGGACAUACGUUCUGUUGUGGCGCGCGCCAAACCCCGCAGUAGGAAACAAGCUUGAGGUUCCACAGGUCUUCAACUUUCAUCUUAAAAUACACAAUUUUGAAACAUGGCAUCUACCAGUCAAGCUCCUCAACCGGCAAGAAAUUUGCCCUGGGUUGAAAAAUACAGGCCACAGAAACUUGAUGAUCUGAUCUCACACAAAGAUAUUCUAAGCACCAUUCAGAGGUUCAUCAGUGAAGACAGGCUCCCUCAUCUUUUGUUCUAUGGCCCCCCUGGAACAGGCAAAACCUCCACCAUUCUCGCCUGUGCAAAGCAGCUGUACAAAGACAAAGAGUUUACCUCUAUGGUGUUGGAGCUAAAUGCAUCAGAUGACAGAGGUAUUGAUGUUGUACGUGGCCCCAUUCUGAGUUUUGCCAGCACCAGGACCAUAUUCAAGAAGGGGUUCAAGUUAGUGAUACUGGAUGAGGCAGAUGCAAUGACCCAGGAUGCCCAGAAUGCAUUGCGAAGAGUCAUUGAGAAAUUCACAGAAAACACAAGAUUCUGUCUGAUUUGUAAUUACUUGUCAAAAAUCAUCCCGGCUCUGCAGUCACGCUGCACCCGGUUUCGCUUCGGCCCACUUUCCCCGGACCAGAUGAUUCCUCGACUGGAGCACAUUAUCCAACAAGAGAGUAUUGACAUAAGCCCAGAUGGAAUGAAGGCUAUUGUGACCUUAUCAGCUGGUGAUAUGAGAAGAUCCCUCAACAUCCUGCAGAGCACUAGUAUGGCAUACGGGAAGGUCACUGAAGACACAGUAUACACGUGCACAGGUCACCCCCUCCGCUCGGAUAUCGCCAAUAUCCUUGACUGGUCCCUCAACAAAGACUUCACUGCGGCAUAUAAGCAGAUCCUUCACCUCAAGACUUUGAAAGGUUUGGCCCUGCAUGACAUCCUGACAGAGAUUCAUCUGCUCAUACACAGAGUGGACUUUCCUCCUGCUAUUCGGAUGGGUCUACUCAUAAAGUUGGCUGACGUAGAACACAGACUUGCUUCAGGAACCAAUGAGAAGAUCCAGCUGAGUUCGAUGGUUGCAGCUUUCCAGUCCGUGAGAGAUCUUGUGGUCAGUGAGGCGUUCUAGACAACAUUUACACCCCACAAUGAUGUUCUCUCUGCAGUGCAAACCACAGCGUGGUGGAGAGAAUGCUUUACUGAUUCACUGCUCUUUGGGUUCCAGGAAUCAAAGUAUUUCAACAGCUUCCGUUCACUAUGCAGAAAACUAAAGUUAAAUUCUUCAAUUCAUCCAAAUCUGACUGUCUAUGGUUUUAGUCAAAAUCCUUUGAAUCCAUCUCGGUACAAAAUUCUGAAGUUGACUUGUGUAAAAUAAACGGAUCUAUCUUAUUAGCGUUAGUGCCACAAACAAUUUUUGCAUGAGUACCCCUCCCUCACCCCCAUUCAAACAUGUACUCAAAUUAGAACAAUAGUUAUUCAGAGGUCACAUCAGACCAACAGUGGUGUCACUUCUCUUCAUAUCCCUAAUUCGUGCCUCUGUCCUUUACCGAUUGAAGUAAAUGUUUGAAAGAAGCUACCAUGUGAAACGACAGCAUGAUGGUAAAAUUAGUGUCAGAGUAAUAAUAAUAAUACUUGUACAUGUCCAUGUAUUUGAAUCUGUUUAAUAAAACAUUUUGCAUAAAGAG